UCUAGAAGAGUUUUUGAGCGUACAACUAGAAAUAUCAAAAGGUGUUCAAUCGAACUAUUUGUACACCUAGUAUACUCCCUUGAACCCAAUGAAAUAUUGGUUCCCAUACUCAAGCUGUGGGUGUUCAAUACUUCGGCAAAAAUGACACCAUCUCAUACUCCAAGUUAGUAGUAAAAAUGGAAAACCAAAAGCUACAAUGCAAGUGCAGCUCCAGUGCAAAUAUAAAUCCAAUUCUAGAACAUGCUCAGUCCUGGUACAACUUCAGUUGUGGCACAUCUUUAGAGCAAGUACAACCGGCGCAAGUACGGCCCCAUACAAGUAUAGCUCGUGUUAAGUAGAACCCUAGUGCAAGUGUGGAUAUGGUGGUAGCACAACAGCAGUUAAAUACAAGGAUUUCAAAAGGAAAAUUGUUUUAGGCGGGCUGGAUCGCAUUUCUACAAUUAUCGGUCCAGAGGUAUAAAGCAUCCAUCUUAAAGAUGGAUGCAAAUAGGUUGUCUAACGGUUCAAAUAUUUUUUUAAUAUAAUUAUUAUUUUUAGUUUUCAAAAAAAAAAAUUCAUAUUCAUGAUCUCUAUGUUAAAGAUUAUAUAUUAUCUAAAAAUUAGAAUCAAAUUAUAUUUCAAAUAUAUAUUUAUUGCCAUGCCUGCAUUUCGACAAUAUGCGGGAUGGCCGCAGAGAAACCAUGUCCAAUUUAAAAUAAGAACAUGGUUUACAUGAGUUCAUGUAGAAAUGAGUCCCAUCUUAAAAAUCUAUUUUUAGGAUGGAUUUCUAAACGCAAUUUUUAAGGGCAUAUAAUCUCUAAUAUGGAGAUUAUGAAUAUGAAAAAAUCAAAAAAUAACAAUUUUAUGAAUAAAACUUUUAGACCGUUAUUUCAAUUGCCUGGGAAAAACUUAACUUUUAGACCGUUAGUUUCAAUUGCUUGGGAUCGCAAAUAUAGAAAUGCAUCGG
Molecule: long non-coding RNA, 946 nt
Filed under: Amborella trichopoda
Lineage: Eukaryota; Viridiplantae; Streptophyta; Magnoliopsida; Amborellales; Amborellaceae
Description: long non-coding RNA (ATRI_LNC005312)
Source: RNAcentral